GACGUAGGGCGCGAGCGUUGUCCGGAAUUAUUGGGCGUAAAGCGCACGUAGGCGGUUUGUUAAGUCGGAUGUGAAAUCCCUCGGCUCAACUGAGGAAGUGCAUCCGAAACUGGCAGGCUUGAGUACUAAAGAGGGUCGCGGAAUUCCCGGUGUAGAGGUGAAAUUCGUAGAUAUCGGGAGGAACACCGGUGGCGAAGGCGGCGACCUGGGUAGAUACUGACGCUGAGGUGCGAAAGCGUGGGGAGCAAACAGG
Molecule: ribosomal RNA, 253 nt
Filed under: uncultured bacterium
Lineage: Bacteria
Description: partial 16S ribosomal RNA
Rfam family: Bacterial small subunit ribosomal RNA
Source: RNAcentral